AGCAGCCGCGGUAAUUCCAGCUCCAAUAGCGUAUAUUAAAGUUGCUGCAGUUAAAAAGCUCGUAGUUGAAUUUCGGGACCAUCAUGUCGGUCGUGCCUCGGUACGUACUGGCAUUGUUGGUUUCUACCUUCUGACGAACCAUGAUGUCAUUUAUUUGGUGUCGUGGGAAAUCAGGACUGUUACUUUGAAAAAAUUAGAGUGUUUAAAGCAGGCUCACGCUUGAAUACAUUAGCAUGGAAUAAUGAAAUAGGACGUUUGAUUCUAUUUUGUUGGUUUCUAGGAUCGACGUAAUGAUUAAUAGGGAUAGUUGGGGGCAUUAGUAUUCAAUUGUCAGAGGUGAAAUUCUUGGAUUUAUUGAAGACUAACUACUGCGAAAGCAUUUGCCAAGGAUGUUUUCAUUAAUCAAGAACGAAAGUUAGGGGAUCGAAGACGAUCAGAUACCGUCGUAGUCUUAACCAUAAACUAUGCCGACUAGG
Molecule: small RNA, 476 nt
Filed under: uncultured Glomus
Lineage: Eukaryota; Fungi; Glomeromycota; Glomeromycetes; Glomerales; Glomeraceae
Description: SSU rRNA
Rfam family: Eukaryotic small subunit ribosomal RNA
Source: RNAcentral